Molecule: microRNA, 23 nt
Filed under: Eptesicus fuscus (big brown bat)
Lineage: Eukaryota; Metazoa; Chordata; Mammalia; Chiroptera; Vespertilionidae
Description: efu-miR-9300
Source: miRBase by way of RNAcentral
AUGCCAUCAGGACAUGCUCUUUG